RNAcentral lists this ribosomal RNA (463 nucleotides) under Vreelandella stevensii. Its description in RNAcentral is "partial 16S ribosomal RNA". It matches the Rfam family "Bacterial small subunit ribosomal RNA", at positions 338 to 795 of the family's 1533-position model. Lineage: Bacteria; Pseudomonadati; Pseudomonadota; Gammaproteobacteria; Oceanospirillales; Halomonadaceae. The record is from RNAcentral.
CCUACGGGCGGCAGCAGUGGGGAAUAUUGGACAAUGGGGGAACCCUGAUCCAGCCAUGCCGCGUGUGUGAAGAAGGCCCUCGGGUUGUAAAGCACUUUCAGUGAGGAAGAACGCCUGGUGGUUAAUACCCAUCAGGAAAGACAUCACUCACAGAAGAAGCCCCGGCUAACUCCGUGCCAGCAGCCGCGGUAAUACGGAGGGUGCGAGCGUUAAUCGGAAUUACUGGGCGUAAAGCGCGCGUAGGUGGCUUGAUAAGCCGGUUGUGAAAGCCCCGGGCUCAACCUGGGAACGGCAUCGGAACUGUCAAGCUAGAGUGCAGGAGAGGAAGGUAGAAUUCCCGGUGUAGCGGUGAAAUGCGUAGAGAUCGGGAGGAAUACCAGUGGCGAAGGCGGCCUUCUGGACUGACACUGACACUGAGGUGCGAAAGCGUGGGUAGCAAACAGGAUUAGAUACCCGUGUAGUC